AAUAUGUACCAGGAGUCAGUACACUGCAGGUAUCUGAAUACUGCUAGUAACUAUGAAUACUGCUAGUAACUAUUACACAAAUGUUAUAAAGACGUUUACAUUGAAGUUCAACACAUUUUAGCUAACAUGUUAUAGAUCACCAGCAAAGGAAGAGGGGAGGGAGAAACCAUGCAACAAUGUUUCCCAGAGGAAAUACUUGGAAGAUGCCAACAUACAGAAUGUGAAUCUCCGCUUCAUUGUUUGUUAGAACAUGCUGAAAGAGAAGACAUGGAUUCUGGCCAAAAUACAUUGUUUUUGUGUUCCAGUGUUGUAAUACUGGCAGUCUGAAGAAAGAGCUGUGUAAUGCAUAGGAUGUGCUAGUGCUAAAGGACAACUAACCAAUAAGACUGCAGGAUUUGAGACUCGCCCCUAUAUGCUGUUCUGUUUUCAGUUGCAGUCACAUGCAAAGUACAGAGCUCAUCUCCAUUAACAGAAAUACAGGAAGGAGAAACUAGCUUCUUUGGCAAACUGCCAUUUCAGAUGACUUGCAAUCUAGUGAGAAUGAAAUGUGAUGUUCUCUGCAAUUGGCCAAACACGAGAGAUGUCAUGCAAUGCCUGUUUUGAAAUGGUACAACUGUAUAUUUUCAUGUCUACCUGAUGAGGAAGAUGAAGAUGAUGAUCCCAAGAUAGCCUCAACACUGUCCUUCACUACUUUCUCUACCUACCUUCUAGUGUAGCAGUUAAACAAGGAGUUUGUUUGCACAAAAAAAAUGCCCUUCCCCUACCUUUCACACCUUAUGACUUCCUUUCUCUUUUUCCUUCUGCUUGCUGUUUCCAGUUUCUUACAUUCCUAUCUACCCCAUUUCUUCCACAUUUCUUUGACCAACAAGGCUGUCAGUUUGGUUCUGCAGCCACAUUAAUGUAUCUGUUGGCUACUAUUAUACCUCUUAACCUCUAAGCACAAGAAAUCUGGACAAAGCUGAAAAUAAUGGAGAGAUAAAACCACAAAAAUCUGAUCUGACACAAGUUGCCAUAAUGGUUAAGGUCUUUGCUUCCCAUGCGCAAAGUGUAAGGUUUCAUCUUGACGUCAGGCCAAUACUUGUUUGGAGUUUGCAUGCUCUCUGUGUCUUUGUGGGGGUCCUCCCACCUCUAAAAAACAUGUUGAGUGUUUUCAUCUCAAACUCACAAAAGAAUGGAGCUGUGGGCAGCAGCACAGACUCUGUAUGGUACCCUGUAGAUGGAAGAGUUGUAUAAAUCAACCUCUUUAAUGCACAGUAUCCUCAUGACAGGAGAACACAGAUUACAGACUGCAUGAUGUGGUGUAAUAUAUGGGUAUAGGUGAUCCAGUCAGGUUGACUAAUACCAAUGGGCAUGGGCAUAUGUCAUUGAUAAGUGACAUUAGUUUGUAAUUGCCAUCUAAGCUCCUGGUAUACCACAAAAUCAUCCACAGGUCCACCUCUCCACCCUAAAUCCACCUGAACAAUAAUUAAAAAUUUAAAUCUGUGAGAGAUUAUUUUCUAUAUGUUUGUAUAGUGCAUUCUUUCCAUCCUUUUUCUAAUGCCACUGUAUAUCCUGGUUUCAAUGAAACCACUUCUCUGUCUAGUCUUUUAAAAUUGAGAGCAGCUUUUUGUUUAAAAUUUAUUUAGAAACAUAAAGUAAUAAGUUUUAGAUUUUGCUGUGAGGAAAGGUUUUGUAUGUAUUAUUUGUUAUAUCAUGUUAUUGGUUAGAAAUGGAUGAUAUGUAUAGUAUUUAUGUAUGUAAUAGUCUAAUUUGUUGUAACAUCAGGCCUUAUAUUGGUUGUAUGGGGUUUUUAAACGGUCUCCAUGGCAAUAGAUUGGGGUGUUGGAUUAGUUACUUAAUUGAUUGCUCAACAAAUGUGAACAGUUGUUGUGAUGAGUUGUUCUGAAGAAGUCCUAUUGUACCAAGGAUGAAAGCACUUAAUAAAGAUACUUUAUGGAACUUA
This is a long non-coding RNA of Protopterus annectens (West African lungfish), 1942 nucleotides long. RefSeq lists it as uncharacterized. Lineage: Eukaryota; Metazoa; Chordata; Ceratodontiformes; Protopteridae. The transcript has 2 exons. The record is from RefSeq and is a predicted model, not a curated record.